CGAACGGGUGAGUAACACGUGGGCAACCUGCCCCCGGCUCUGGGAUAACUCCAAGAAAUUGGGGCUAAUACCGGAUAUGACCGCUGGCCGCAUGGUCUGGUGGUGGAAAGUUUUUCGGCUGGGGAUGGGCCCGCGGCCUAUCAGCUUGUUGGUGGGGUAGUGGCCUACCAAGGCGACGACGGGUAGCCGGCCUGAGAGGGUGACCGGCCACACUGGGACUGAGACACGGCCCAGACUCCUACGGGAGGCAGCAGUGGGGAAUAUUGCGCAAUGGGCGGAAGCCUGACGCAGCGACGCCGCGUGGGGGAUGACGGCCUUCGGGUUGUAAACCUCUUUCAGCUCCGACGAAGCGGAAGUGACGGUAGGAGCAGAAGAAGCACCGGCCAACUACGUGCCAGCAGCCGCGGUAAUACGUAGGGUGCAAGCGUUGUCCGGAAUUAUUGGGCGUAAAGAGCUCGUAGGCGGUUUGUCGCGUCGGCUGUGAAAACCUGAGGCUCAACCUCAGGCCUGCAGUCGAUACGGGCAGACUUGAGUGUUGCAGGGGAGACUGGAAUUCCUGGUGUAGCGGUGAAAUGCGCAGAUAUCAGGAGGAACACCGGUGGCGAAGGCGGGUCUCUGGGCAACAACUGACGCUGAGGAGC
Molecule: ribosomal RNA, 641 nt
Filed under: Geodermatophilus sp. I12A-02611
Lineage: Bacteria; Bacillati; Actinomycetota; Actinomycetes; Geodermatophilales; Geodermatophilaceae
Description: bacterial SSU rRNA
Rfam family: Bacterial small subunit ribosomal RNA
Source: RNAcentral